This 85-nucleotide transfer RNA is filed under the name Glaciimonas soli. RNAcentral describes it as "Glaciimonas sp. GS1 tRNA-Leu". It matches the Rfam family "tRNA". Rfam says of the family: Transfer RNA (tRNA) molecules are approximately 80 nucleotides in length. Their secondary structure includes four short double-helical elements and three loops (D, anti-codon, and T loops). Further hydrogen bonds mediate the characteristic L-shaped molecular structure. tRNAs have two regions of fundamental functional importance: the anti-codon, which is responsible for specific mRNA codon recognition, and the 3' end, to which the tRNAs corresponding amino acid is attached (by aminoacyl-tRNA synthetases). tRNAs cope with the degeneracy of the genetic code in two manners: having more than one tRNA (with a specific anti-codon) for a particular amino acid; and 'wobble' base-pairing, i.e. permitting non-standard base-pairing at the 3rd anti-codon position. The record is from RNAcentral. Lineage: Bacteria; Pseudomonadati; Pseudomonadota; Betaproteobacteria; Burkholderiales; Oxalobacteraceae.
GCGGAUAUGGCGAAAUUGGUAGACGCACUAGAUUUAGGUUCUAGCGUGGCAACACGUGGGGGUUCAAGUCCCUCUAUCCGCACCA